UACGUAGGGUGCGAGCGUUAAUCGGAAUUACUGGGCGUAAAGCGUGCGCAGGCGGUUUUGUAAGCCAGAUGUGAAAUCCCCGGGCUUAACCUGGGAAUGGCAUUUGGGACUGCAAGGCUCGAGUGCGGCAGAGGGGGAUGGAAUUCCGCGUGUAGCAGUGAAAUGCGUAGAUAUGCGGAGGAACACCGAUGGCGAAGGCAAUCCCCUGGGCCUGUACUGACGCUCAUGCACGAAAGCGUGGGGAGCAAACAGG
RNAcentral lists this ribosomal RNA (253 nucleotides) under uncultured bacterium. RNAcentral describes it as "partial 16S ribosomal RNA". It matches the Rfam family "Bacterial small subunit ribosomal RNA", at positions 524 to 776 of the family's 1533-position model. The record is from RNAcentral.